This 910-nucleotide ribosomal RNA is filed under the name uncultured bacterium. Its description in RNAcentral is "bacterial SSU rRNA". It matches the Rfam family "Bacterial small subunit ribosomal RNA", at positions 11 to 917 of the family's 1533-position model. The record is from RNAcentral.
GUUUGAUCCUGGCUCAGAUUGAACGCUGGCGGAAUGCUUUACACAUGCAAGUCGAACGGCAGCACGGGUGCUUGCACCUGGUGGCGAGUGGCGAACGGGUGAGUAAUAUAUCGGAACGUACCUUAUUGUGGGGGAUAACGCAGCGAAAGCUGUGCUAAUACCGCAUAAUCCCUUAGGGGGAAAGCGGGGGACCGUAAGGCCUCGCGCAAUUAGAGCGGCCGAUACCUGAUUAGCUAGUUGGUGAGGUAAAGGCUCACCAAGGCAACGAUCAGUAGCUGGUCUGAGAGGACGAUCAGCCACACUGGGACUGAGACACGGCCCAGACUCCUACGGGAGGCAGCAGUGGGGAAUUUUGGACAAUGGGGGCAACCCUGAUCCAGCAAUGCCGCGUGAGUGAAGAAGGCCUUCGGGUUGUAAAGCUCUUUUGUCAGGGAAGAAACAGCAGCUCUAACACAGUCUGCGAAUGACGGUACCUGAAGAAUAAGCACCGGCUAACUACGUGCCAGCAGCCGCGGUAAUACGUAGGGUGCAAGCGUUAAUCGGAAUUACUGGGCGUAAAGCGUGCGCAGGCGGUUAUGUAAGACAGGCGUGAAAUCCCCGGGCUUAACCUGGGAAUUGCGCUUGUGACUGCAUAGCUAGAGUAUGUCAGAGGGGGGUAGAAUUCCACGUGUAGCAGUGAAAUGCGUAGAGAUGUGGAGGAAUACCAAUGGCGAAAGCAGCCCCCUGGGAUAAUACUGACGCUCAUGCACGAAAGCGUGGGGAGCAAACAGGAUUAGAUACCCUGGUAGUCCACGCCCUAAACGAUGCUGACUAGUUGUUCGGGAAUUUAUUCCUGAGUAACGUAGCUAACGCGUGAAGUCAGCCGCCUGGGGAGUACGGUCGCAGAUUAAAACUCAAAGGAAUUGACGGG